AAAUAUUACAUGAAAUAGGACACGUGUGAAAAGUAACAUACCAUAACUUUACUCAUGUAUGAGAAUCAAGUUUUGAUGUUUGAACAUCCAAAACCACAAGUAUGACAAUUACAACAGACAUAAGUAUUAGAACAUUACAAUAACCUUAAACCUUCCUAACUCCCAUAACCUAUGAAGCACUAACUCUCACCAUUAUUCUCAUCAUAAUUCAACCAUUAUUUUCACCAUAACUCCCAACAUAAUUCUAAAUUAAUGUUAUCUCCAACAUCCUCCCUUAAUUUAGAAUUACUCUAACUUCAAGUUCUUCAUCAUGAUUCUUGCUCCAUUGCCUCUUCUUCUUUAACUUGCUUAUUUUCCUCUUUGAUAUCGCCUCACUAUGGUCUCUCAGUCCAUUGCCCAUCUGCUUCUUCAUUCAAUGCAAGCACCUUAAUUCCCUUGGCGGAAUUUUUCAAUGACACUUCUUUAGUUACUUUGGGUCUUGAGAGCUUUUCCUCCCUCAUUACUUAGAGAACUUUCUUUUCUCCUUUCCGUGUGAGUUCAUUUCAUUCCUCACCAAUACUUUAAGGCCUUCAUGCCUCUUGAAGCUUACAUGAACUCUGACUUGUCUUCGUCUUCAUUGACUUUGGCCACCAGCUGGGAGUACUUUUCUUUAGGACUUUCACCCAAUCUUCAUUGCACCAUUGUGCAUUUAGGGAGUCUUGUCAACUUCUUUGCACAAUUGUGCCACUAUGCCUUUAGGAAGCCUUUUCAACUUGACACCAUUGUGCCAUCUUCACCUGGAGAAAAGAUAUACCAUUUUGUUGAAAGACUUUUGUCUUUCAAUUAGAAAUCAGAGGAAUAAGCUAAUUGCCAAAGUUCCAAUGACGAAGAAUAGAAUGUUCUUGCUGAAGCUGCAAACUGAAUUGGCAAAGCGUCUAAAGGGUUCCGCCAAAGAAUCUUCUUGGAUUUGGCACUAGAGAUUUGGGCACGUGAAUUUUGAAGAUUUGUCUAUGUUGCGGAAGAAAAAAAUGGUGAAAGGCUUGCCAACAAUUCAUUCUCCAAAUCACUUAUGUGAAGGGUGUCUUCUUGGAAAGCAUUCAAGAAAAAAUUUUCCUAAGGAGGCAACUACAAGAGCAAAAGAGCCACUGGAGCUUGUUCAUGCUGAUGUCUGCGGCCCAAUCAAACCAAGUUCUUUUGGUAAGAAUAAUUAUUUUCUGCUAUUUAUUGAUGAUUUUAGCAGAAAAACUUAGGUGUAUUUUUUAAAGGAGAAAUCAGAGGUGUUUGGUGCAUUCAAAAAAUUCAAGGCUGUUGUUGAAAAUAUGAGUGGCUGCAAGAUUAAGGUGUUGAGAUCUGAUCGAGGAGGGGAAUUCACUUCAAAUGAAUUCUAAAAAUUUUGUGAUGACAAUGGAAUUCGCAGCUUCCUAACGGUGCCAUACUCUCCUCAACAAAAUGGCGUAGUGGAGAGAAAAAAUAGAACAAUUCUCAAUAUGGCUCGAAGUAUGAUGAGAAGCAAGAGGUGGCAGAGGAGGAAGAAUUGGAAGAGGUGGCUACAAGUCCAGCUAAAAUAAAGGAAGAGAUCAAAAUCCAAACUCUUCAAGAGGAAAUGGAAGAUGGAGCAAUUCACACCAACAAGGAAAUUUCAGGUUUGGUUAUGAAGCUAUAAGUUUGAAUCCCAGUGAUCACUGGCAGAUCCCGGUAGAGGGUGAGGCAGGCUCAAGCCCGUCCGAGAUAUUUGGGCUUAAAAAAAAAUUAGAUGUAUACUUUUUUUUUUGUUAAUUUGGUAUAGUCCAUAUUGAAGCCCAGUAGCCCACCCGAAGUACUCCCGAGUCCCGAGUCCCGAGUCCCGAACUUGACUACGGCCUAUUCUAAUAUGGAGAAUCAUCUCCCUUCCUCCUCCUCUCGCCUUCUGCGGCUCUGCCCUUCUCCACUUCUCUCAGAGAUCAAGUCGUAUCUACUUCUCUUACUCUCCCUCUUCAAUUUGGGGCAAUGAAUUCAAUACUUGUAGUGGAUUGAAGAUUUCGUGGAUUGAAGAAUGAAGGUUCAAAUUCUAUUGAUCUGAUUGCGGUUAAAGGGGGGAUAGUUGCUACUGUGCUAUCCACAACCAUGGUAGCUCUCUCUCUCUCUCUCUCUCUCUCUCUCUCUCUCUCUCUCGACUGAAAGUUCUUCAAGUUUUCACUAAAUCUGUGGCAGUAAAGGGCUAAAGGCUUAAGCUUCUCUUGAGCUAGAGCUAGGAUUUGAUUCAAUUAGUGAAUACAUAGUUCUCUUCAAGAAUUUAGUUCAAAUUGAUUUGGUAAUCUGGAAAAGAAGCGUGUUUCUAAGAAAUGGUGAAACUGAAUACACAAGCUUAGUUGAAGAGAAAGAUUCGUGUUGCAGUUUUUGGUAUCUAUCUAAUGCUGAACUUA
Long non-coding RNA from Rosa chinensis, 2381 nucleotides. RefSeq lists it as uncharacterized. The record is from RefSeq and is a predicted model, not a curated record. Lineage: Eukaryota; Viridiplantae; Streptophyta; Magnoliopsida; Rosales; Rosaceae. The transcript has 3 exons.